UACGGAGGGUGCAAGCGUUGCUCGGAAUCACUGGGCGUAAAGCGUACGCAGGCUGGUCGUCAAGUCGGGUGUGAAAGCCCGGGGCUCAACCCCGGAAUUGCAUUCGAAACUGGCGGCCUUGAGUACGGGAGAGGGAAGCGGAAUUCCUGGUGUAGAGGUGAAAUUCGUAGAUAUCAGGAGGAACACCCGUGGCGAAAGCGGCUUCCUGGCCCGAUACUGACGCUCAUGUACGAAAGCGUGGGGAGCAAACAGG
RNAcentral lists this unclassified non-coding RNA (253 nucleotides) under uncultured Pseudobdellovibrionaceae bacterium. Its description in RNAcentral is "uncultured Bdellovibrionaceae bacterium contains 16S-23S intergenic spacer region". It matches the Rfam family "Bacterial small subunit ribosomal RNA", at positions 524 to 776 of the family's 1533-position model. Lineage: Bacteria; Pseudomonadati; Bdellovibrionota; Bdellovibrionia; Bdellovibrionales; Pseudobdellovibrionaceae. The record is from RNAcentral.